AACACAUGCAAGUCGUGCGAGAAAGGGGACUUCGGUCCCUGAGUAGAGCGGCGCACGGGUGAGUAACGCGUGGAUUAUCUACCCAGACGUUCGGGAUAACGGCGGGAAACUGCCGCUAAUACCGGAUACGCUCCAAUUUCGGUUGGGGGAAAGGCGGCCUCUGCUUGCAAGCUGUCGCAUCUGGAUGAGUCCGCGUCCCAUUAGCUUGUUGGUGGGGUAAUGGCCUACCAAGGCUACGAUGGGUAGCAUGGUCUGAGAGGAUGAUCAGCCACACUGGAACUGAAACACGGUCCAGACUCCUACCGGAGGCAGCAGUGGGGAAUAUUGCGCAAUGGGGGAAACCCUGACGCAGCGACGCCGUGUGAGGGAAGAAGGCUUUCGNGUCGUAAACCUCUGUCANAAAGGAAGAACCUCCCAGGUCCGAAUANGGCUUGGGACUGACGGUACUUUCAAAGGAAGCACCGGCUAACUCCGUGCCAGCAACCCGCGGUAAUACCGAGGGUGCAAGCGUUAAUCGGAAUCACUUGGCGUAAAGCCCGCGUAAGCCGCUUUUGUAAGCCGCGUGAAAGCCCUNGGGUAACCGGGGAACUGCGUUCNAUACUGCNAGGCNUGAGUCCUGGAAAGGGGUGCGGAAUU
Molecule: ribosomal RNA, 636 nt
Filed under: uncultured bacterium
Lineage: Bacteria
Description: bacterial SSU rRNA
Rfam family: Bacterial small subunit ribosomal RNA
Source: RNAcentral